GGGGCCGUUGCCUAGCCAGGCAAGGCGUCGGGCUCCAGACCCGAAGAUCGGGGGUUCGAAUCCCUCCGGCCCCA
This 74-nucleotide transfer RNA is filed under the name Thermoprotei archaeon. RNAcentral describes it as "tRNA-Trp". It matches the Rfam family "tRNA". Rfam says of the family: Transfer RNA (tRNA) molecules are approximately 80 nucleotides in length. Their secondary structure includes four short double-helical elements and three loops (D, anti-codon, and T loops). Further hydrogen bonds mediate the characteristic L-shaped molecular structure. tRNAs have two regions of fundamental functional importance: the anti-codon, which is responsible for specific mRNA codon recognition, and the 3' end, to which the tRNAs corresponding amino acid is attached (by aminoacyl-tRNA synthetases). tRNAs cope with the degeneracy of the genetic code in two manners: having more than one tRNA (with a specific anti-codon) for a particular amino acid; and 'wobble' base-pairing, i.e. permitting non-standard base-pairing at the 3rd anti-codon position. The record is from RNAcentral. Lineage: Archaea; Thermoproteati; Thermoproteota; Thermoprotei.